Molecule: long non-coding RNA, 1551 nt
Organism: Balaenoptera ricei (Rice's whale)
Lineage: Eukaryota; Metazoa; Chordata; Mammalia; Artiodactyla; Balaenopteridae
Exons: 3
Source: RefSeq, a predicted model, not a curated record
CCCCACUGUGAAAGGGGUGAAGUGUUUUGGUUCUGGCCUAUUGAAGGACAAAUACCCACUGUGUGCUCGUUCUCUGAGUCGGUGAGAGAGACCCAGAGUCGGUCUGCUUUAGCGCCGCCAAUAGAACUAAUGCCUUUGCACAGAGGACCUAGUGAGGACAGAGCAGUGUGCCAGGUGACGACAGCGCUGUGGCACUGUCCUGCCUUCAGCUCAGUGAGCCGGGAGAGCCAGGCCCCCCGGUGGCAGCAAGCGCAGAGCCAGGAGUGUAUCGGGAGCCGGUCGGAUGUCUGAGAUGGUCCACAGGGCCUUGGCGCUGGCGGCAUGGCCACCGCCCCACCGCGGGGCCCACUGGACGGGGAAGAACCGACUUGCCCAGGCCCUCCUGCUUUUCCUGCCUCCCCACCGCUGCAGAAAGAAAACGUUCCCAAAAAUUCCCCUGGAAUGACUUCCCCUGGAAACGACAGGAAGGUGUGGUCUGCGGAAUGUGGCCAUCAGAGGCUCCAAAGGGACAAGCUGGGUGGCUCUCCCAGAAGCACCCAUGAGCCUCGGCCCUGGGGAAGAGGGGCUGUGUGGACAGCACACCUCUGUCCUGACUAAUCCAGGGCUGGGGGUCAGCAUGGGGGCCGCGGAGACAAAGCAGCGCCAGCCACGCCAGCCGCCCCCCAUGUGCAGGCUGGGGACCUGCAGCCACCGGCAUGUCCCAGGAGGAAGAGCCAUCCUCCAGUAGUUAACUCUUUUCUACAACCAAGCUCCAUCCCCCAGUCUUUAUAGGGGUCUCCGCUGUCAAGGAAACAGUUCAAACGCCUCGUGAUGCCUCAAGGCUUCUCAUCUGCUCCUGUCACCUAUCCAGCUUCUGAUGAAGGGUCCCCUUCCUCAGCCACAGCCACUCUCUCUCUCUCCUGCUGCCACUGGGAACCACUUCCAGUGACCCGAAUAGCUGUGUAUCUCUAGGAUAACCACUCGUCCUGGCUUUCCUGGGACAAAGGAGUUUCCCAGGAUGUGGGACUUUCCAUGGAUGGUCCCAGACAAACCGGGAUAGUUGGUCACACUCUGGGUGCCUCACCCCUUCUAUCUUUACUGAUGCAGCGUCCUUCCCCCGAACCUUGUCUGCCAGGAACACGCUCUAUCCAAACUUGCCUCCACAAAGCUCUUCUGAGUCAGCUCCUGCCUCCGUUGAAAUGGACAAACUGCCCCAUCCUCGGUGCCCUGCUGGUAGCCAGCUCUUCAAUACUUGCCUGUCCGUAUGGGCUCAAUUAUCCGUGUUGCCCGCUAGACUCUAGGCUUCUGGAGCACAGGCUACACUGUCUUUUUGUCUCUCCAGCUGUCACUAAGCCCAGCAACCAUGAAUGAGCCACAGGUGUUGGCUGAACGAUUUUCAAAUACGUGGGAAGGAAUUCUGUGAGGUAUGGAGACACACAAGUUAAAGUUCUUCCAAAAAUUCUGAAAAGUCAUCUUAUUCCACUGAUUCUUUUAACAUAUACUUCUUAAGGUGCCUAUCAUAGGCCAGGCCCCGGAGCUAUAGCUGUGAACAAGACAGUCAAAAUCUCCAUC